Non-coding RNA from Megalopta genalis, 665 nucleotides. NCBI's taxonomy places the organism in Eukaryota, Metazoa, Arthropoda, Insecta, Hymenoptera, Halictidae. The record is from RefSeq and is a predicted model, not a curated record.
UGUUUACAGCAGCGCGGAAGAGGAAAAAAUAUUGUUGCUCGACCGAUUAGACAAUUUCCUCCUCCAGCAAGCGGCUAGCGAUUACAAUUUUUCCGACUCGGUGCCGAUGUGAGAUAACACAGGAUUGCUUUCGUAUACGGAGUAAUAUACUCUUUAUUUAUAAUUAUAAUCACCAAACUUGCAAGAGCUUGAUGCGCAAUUCGAAGCAUUUGAAAUUCUUGGAACAAGACUCGGACUUUGAUUUUCACCUGAGAACAAGACUCAUAUGGAACUCGAUCUGAUCCUUAUUACAAAGAUCUACGGAUCUUAGUUGGCAACUAAUUAGACGCUGUUUUAGCACGUGUUUACUCAUCGGCGAUAGAUCGAGAUGAAUUGGUAGUUUUACGUUUCCGCAAAUUGAACUUUUUGACAAUUUUCGAUGAAAUAAUAUGAGGAAGCACAUCUAUGACUCAAACACACACACACUGAACAGAUGAAAAAACUCAGCAUAUCGGCAAAAACCCAUUUACUGGAGUCAGCUAUUUUUCAAGAGUGCACAGCUAUAGCUCAAGAAGGAAAGUUAUAUUUGAUACGGUACAGCGGUGCCAAUUAUUUUACCAAAACCAAAGAUGGCUCGUAUAUUUGCAAAUAUAAUCAAUUACAAUAACCGUCUGAUCAUAAAAUUA